CAGUAACGUUGCCAUGGCUGCGAAGGUGGCGAAGUCAAAGAACAACCAUGUGAAUCACUGUAAAGAAUCUUUAUGUUUCUGGUUAAAAACGCCAUUUAUCCUCAAAACCCAGAAACCCUUCAUAAAUUUGCCAUUUUCUCUUCGUUUUUUUGGGUCGUAGGAGAAAUUGGCUGUCUUUCUCUACACCCAAUUCCUCUCUCAACCAUUAUGCUUUCUUUUCUUCCUCUCCAUUGUCCGCCUCCGAAAACUCUUUUUCCGCCGCGGUCAUCAUUAUCUCAACCUCUGCUUGUCACGUCCACUCCUGCACAUCUCUCUCUCUGCAUCCGAUCCCUCUCCGCUACUGCCACCAGGCCCGCCACCACUUCCACACCAGGGGCAGACCCAGUAUACUACACCCAAAUGCCACCCUCCAAUUCUAACCUCCUCAAAAUCGCCAUGAUUGGGUUCGGCAACUACGGCCAAUUCCUGGCCAAGACCCUGGUCUUCCAAGGUCAUACUGUCUUCGCUCACUCUAGAACCGACCACUCCCUCGAAGCCCGUUCCCUGGGCGUGACCUUCUUCCUCGACCCGCACGACCUCUGCGAGCAACACCCUGAUGUGAUUUUAUUAUGUACGUCGAUAAUUUCAACGGAGAAUGUCCUCAAAUCUUUGCCAUUACAUAGGUUCAAGCGAAACACAUUAUUUGUCGAUGUCUUGUCAGUUAAAGAAUUUGCCAAAAAUCUAUUGCUCGAUGUCUUGCCUAGUGAUUUCGACAUCAUUUGCACCCAUCCCAUGUUUGGUCCUGAAAGUGCCAAUCAUGGGUGGGAUGGUCUCCACUUCGUCUAUGAGAAUGUUAGAAUUGGCAACGAUCAAUCAAGAGUUGAUAGGUGUAAAAGCUUUCUUGAUAUUUUUGCUAGACAAGGUUGUAGAAUGGUGGAAAUGAGUUGUCAAGACCAUGAUAAGUACGCUGCAGGAUCACAGUUCAUCACGCAUACCGUAGGGAGGGUAUUGGAGAUGUUGAAAUUGGAGUCUACGCCCAUUAAUACGAAAGGGUAUGAAAGUUUAUUGGAUUUGGUCGAUAAUACCGCAGGGGAUAGUUUUGAUUUGUACUAUGGGUUAUUUAUGUACAAUAAGAAUGCGCUUGAGAUGUUGGAGAGAUUGGAUUUGGCUUUUGAGGCUUUAAGGAAGCAGCUUUUUGGAAGGUUGCAUGACGUUGUGAGGAAGCAGUUGUUUGGGAAUGGAGAGAGGAGGCAAAUUCUGCAAGGGAAUUAUUCAGAUGGGCAUCAGAAUGGUGCUGCAUUGGCAUCUGCUUCAAAAGCUGAAAGAUCUCAAGGUGCUGCUCAGCCAUACGAAUACCAGGGUCAGAUCUCCAACUACAUUGAUGACCAUUCGAAGCUCAAGAUUGCUAUAGUUGGUUUUGGAAAUUUUGGACAGUUCCUUGCUAAAACCUUAAUUCGGCAGGGCCACACAGUUUUAGCCUAUUCUCGUUCUGACUACUUCGAUGUGGCUCGGAAAUUGGGGGUUUCAUACUUCUCUGAUGCAGAUGAUCUCUGCGAAGAGCAUCCAGAAGUAAUUCUUCUUUGUACUUCUAUUCUUUCAACAGAAAAUGUCCUCAAGUCAUUGCCAGUUCAGAGAUUGAAGAGAAGUACUCUCUUUGUUGACGUACUCUCAGUUAAAGAGUUUCCUAGGAAUUUGUUUCUCCAACAUUUGCCACCAGAUUUUGAUAUUCUUUGUACUCAUCCCAUGUUUGGCCCAGAGAGCGGUAAAAAUGGGUGGAAUGGCCUUCCCUUUCUUUUUGAUAAGGUCAGGGUAGGAAGCAGUGAGACAAGAGUAUCACGGUGUGACCGGUUUCUUGAUAUUUUUGCUUGUGAAGGGUGCAGAAUGGUGGAGAUGUCCUGUGCAGAGCAUGAUCGGCAUGCAGCUGGGUCACAGUUUAUUACACACACCAUGGGAAGGGUUCUGGAAAAGUUUGGUUUGGAGUCAACACCGAUUAAUACUAAAGGUUAUGAAACUUUGUUAAAUUUGGUGGAAAAUACUGCAGGGGAUAGCUUUGAUCUGUACUAUGGUCUGUUCAUGUACAAUGUAAAUGCAAUGGAGCAGUUAGAGAGGUUGGAUUUGGCUUUUGAAUCUUUGAAGAAGCAGCUAUUUGGGCGUAUGCAUGGUGUUCUUCGGAAGCAAUUGUUUGAAAAUGCGGAGAAGUCUCAAGUCUUGAGGGAGGAAACUUCAGUGUUGAAAGUACCUCAAAAUGGUGAUGCACUGACAUUUUAUUUGGAGACUCUUAAUGCUCGAAACAAUUAAGUUUCAUCUUUUUACAGUAUUGAAACUUGGUGAAUCCAGCUAAACAUGAUCUAACAGUGAGAAAAAGCUAUUAUCAUCAGUGCUCAAACAUCAUAUAUGACGCUUUAGCCAAGAAACAUUCUCCAACUUGUUGAGGGAUGCAAUUAGCGUUAACGAGACAUGUUUUUGGAUUUGGUCAUGAUGUUUGUUGAAAAAGAGGAAUGAUGAGACGAAAAGCUGAAUGCUCUUGAAAGACAUGAGGAAGUUCAAGCAAGUAUAUGUUAAUGUGACGAAUAUUUCAUUCUAGCCAUUGGUUUGCAUAAAGUUCAGUUCAUACACCAGUUUUUGUUCAAUUUCCCACAUGUUGUUCAAGGGUCUCUCUCUCAAUUUUUAUUGUUUGUAGGACAGCCUUGUUGCAUCAUUUUAUUUAAGUAGCUUGUCUGGAACUCCAUUUUUUUUAUGAGAGGAGCUCCAUUUUUGAGUGUUGUAAUUUGCGAGUCCCUCAAAAGGGAAAUGUCGUGUGGCCUUGUUGAUUUCACUUUGAAUCCUUUGAUAGAAUAAUGAGCCCAUUCUUGAUCCUUGUAUCGAAGUAAAGAUUUU
RNAcentral lists this unclassified non-coding RNA (2856 nucleotides) under Hevea brasiliensis (rubber tree). Lineage: Eukaryota; Viridiplantae; Streptophyta; Magnoliopsida; Malpighiales; Euphorbiaceae. The record is from RNAcentral.